UUCAACUUGAGAGUUUGAUCCUGGCUCAGAGCGAACGCUGGCGGCAGGCUUAACACAUGCAAGUCGAGCGGGCAUCCUCGUGGUGUCAGCGGCAGACGGGUGAGUAACACGUGGGAACGUGCCCUUCGGUUCGGAAUAACUCAGGGAAACUUGAGCUAAUACCGGAUACGCCCUU
Molecule: ribosomal RNA, 175 nt
Filed under: Methylobacterium platani
Lineage: Bacteria; Pseudomonadati; Pseudomonadota; Alphaproteobacteria; Hyphomicrobiales; Methylobacteriaceae
Description: partial 16S ribosomal RNA
Rfam family: Bacterial small subunit ribosomal RNA
Source: RNAcentral